This 615-nucleotide ribosomal RNA is filed under the name Propionibacterium acidifaciens. RNAcentral describes it as "bacterial SSU rRNA". It matches the Rfam family "Bacterial small subunit ribosomal RNA", at positions 384 to 1009 of the family's 1533-position model. The record is from RNAcentral. Lineage: Bacteria; Bacillati; Actinomycetota; Actinomycetes; Propionibacteriales; Propionibacteriaceae.
UGAUGCAGCAACGCCGCGUGCGGGAUGACGGCCUUCGGGUUGUAAACCGCUUUCACCCAUGACGAAGCGCGAGUGACGGUAGUGGGGAAGAAGCACCGGCCAACUACGUGCCAGCAGCCGCGGUGAUACGUAGGGUGCGAGCGUUGUCCGGAAUUAUUGGGCGUAAAGAGCUUGUAGGCGGUUGAUCGCGUCGAUAGUGAAAUCCCGGGGCUCAACCUCGGGCUUGCUGUCGAUACGGGUUGACUUGAGGAAGGUAGGGGAGAAUGGAACUCCCGGUGGAGCGGUGGAAUGCGCAGAUAUCGGGAAGAACACCGGUGGCGAAGGCGGUUCUCUGGACCUUUCCUGACGCUGAGAAGCGAAAGCGUGGGGAGCAAACAGGCUUAGAUACCCUGGUAGUCCACGCUGUAAACGGUGGGUACUAGGUGUGGGUCGCAUUCCACGUGAUCCGUGCCGUAGCCAACGCAUUAAGUACCCCGCCUGGGGAGUACGGCCGCAAGGCUAAAACUCAAAGGAAUUGACGGGGCCCCGCACAAGCGGCGGAGCAUGCGGAUUAAUUCGAUGCAACGCGAAGAACCUUACCUGGGUUUGACAUGUACUGGAAGCGCUCAGAGAUGG